GGAGCGUACAUUGAGGCACAAGAAGAACGGGAAACCUGAUCCGUAUAACAUGAAGUGGACCAAUUUCGGUGGUAAUUGAUCGGAUUAUUCUACUUUAAGAAAAGGAAACACCACACUACGGCAUAAUUUCAUUUUUUUUCCCCGCAAAGAGGAGGAUGGUAGCCGGGUAGUCACAACUUCGGACACGCUGCUGUUCCUUGGCACGCGCACUGAUCCAGUUGGUGAGGCAGCAGUAGCAGGGUUCUGAUCCUGGGGAGAUGACGGAGGUGGUAGAGCCCAAGCUGGACUUUGCAUCCUCGGGUCGCUCGGGGAGAAGGAAUGCCCUACCUGACAUCCUGGGUUCACCGGUUGGGGUCAACCCCACUGACCUGCAACUCAAAUUGUCCGAGCUCCACCUCACAGAUGGUCUGGGAGAAGCCCAGUCUCCCACGGCAGAGGAGGCCCCACUCCCUACAGAGAGCUCUGAGAGGAAUGAGGGAUCAUAAGUCUGUCUGGGGGGAGGCCCCUAACUAGCCCCGAUGUUUACCUCCAGUGAAGCCGAUGAUAACUGGAGAAGAGGGAUGGAUGGGUAGAACGAUACAGAAGGACCGAUGAAGGAGAAUGAUGGGCCUGUUUUGAACAGCAGCUGAGCUGCAGAGAGAAGGAUGAUGAUAGGAUGGACAGGGAAUGGUCUCUAUCACCCAAUCUGAAAAGACUCUUAAGACAAGCAUUGGUGUGUGUGGGUGGAAAGAUCACCUUUACUCCAACACACUGCCAUGAGAAACAAUGGAUGUAUGCUGAUUAUAUACUGUUGUACACUACACAUUUUUAUGAUUCAAUCAAGACUCAAAACAUUCAGCAACGGAGAAGUCACAAGUGAAAAAAUAAAAAAUGUACAAUAUCCUACUGGUGUCUAUUAAUUGGCCACUGAUUCAACACAGCCAAUCAUGUGGGACGAUGGGCGGAUCCUAGUGGCCAAUAGUGGUUCAGAGCUUUCUAAUUGGUCUGGAAGAGAAAGUAAAGAUGUAUUAUAAUGUACUGGAUGUGUAUGAAGAAUGAGGUGAGAGUGAGUUAACUGUAUAACAAGAGGCAGCUGGCUUCCUCUUUCAGGGUGUCACAGACAUUGAUGUAAUCAUGAAUUCACAUCUGAGACUUUAAUACAGAGGGCAGUGUGGUAUGUAGUGCAUGUAUGGGUUUUUAAACGUUGUUCAAAUGGUUUUAAUGACAACCAAUGGGGCUAAAGCUAAUGGAUCGAGAUGAUUGCUGUGAUUGUGACCAGAAGUGUUGAUGUGUUUAUUUGCAAAGGUUAGCUAGUUGCUAAAGCUAACAUUAUGAGUAGCCUGACAAUCCAAUCCCUGUCUUUUAAAACAUUCCUGAAAUGGUUUCUCACUGCCAACCAUGUGCUGUUGAAGCAGUCUGACGCUGUUGGCGCAUUUCCAUACAGGAUUUACCUCAAUGUAGGCUCAGACUUUUCUGUUUCCACCUACGCGGGCACCCGUGUCUCACUGGGCCCUGGGUCCGGCGGACCAGGUCUCACUUGUGGCCAACCCAGACCGCUGGUACUUUUCAGCUGGCAAUUACAUAACAAACUGAACUUUUAACACCUCACAAAGCAACUGUUUUGAUUAUGCAGAGGCUGUUGAUUCUGCUCGUCAAUGUCAGCCCUCGCUAUGGAAACCAUUUCCCCUACUAUAACAUAAGGGUGUGUACACUAGUGUAAAGCUGGUGUAACAGUUUCACAACGGCAUGUGAAAACUGCUGUUGUGUUCCUCUCAGCUCAAGGCUGUCUUUCAUUAAAAUUAUUUAUAUUUUUCCAGACUUCUCAGAAAAUGUGCCUGGUAGCAGUUUACACAAGAAACCUGCUUUGUUGUGUUCUAUGGGUGCGUUCGUAAAUUCACUCUGGUUAUCUACUCCGAUUUCAGAGCACUUUCAUCUGAGGGUGCCAGAGCACAGAAUAACUCAUUUAUGAACGCUCAACACCCGUUGAAUAUGGCCGGUGUCAGUAAACGUUGGCAAAAAAAGCGUUGCCAGCAGCACAGUUAUAGUCACCAACACUCUGGAUGACAUGAAAACAGCCUAACCAGCUCUGACUCUUUUACACACCCAAGCAGAGUGAGGUGUUCUCUCAUUUUAGUAUGGAAGUAGCUAGUCAACGUUGGCCAGUUAGGUUGGGUGCUUGACUGCCAUUGUAAGGUCAGAAUGCUUUCAUCAACCCUACUCCUUUGAAUUUAGGAACGGACAAUCUGACAACAUUGAAUUUAGGAACACCCAGAGCACACUCUAGAUUGAAUUUACCAACACCCCCUAUAUCGCUGAAGUACUUUUAAACAGUAUUUGGGCUAUUGACCCGUAGAAGACAUGUCUACCAGGUCUUUGAUGAUAAACUAUAGAAAAAUGUCACUUAUCACAACAGUACAUAUGUUAAUGAUGUACUGGCUCAGAGGAAUACCACCCACACUUACAGCAAGGCCUUGGAGAUGGAAGGCUUGUGCACUUGCAGUGUGGUCAGCAUAUGCCUGUUGUCUGGGCAUGGGAGCAAGCACCAAGCAACACCACCACCAAAGUGUUGCAUCAUGUAUGGAGUUGCAGCAUGCCUUCUGCCUCCUGCUGCUCCACUCAGCCACAGACGGACAGCCCGGGAAUUCACACAG
This is a long non-coding RNA of Oncorhynchus masou masou (cherry salmon), 2630 nucleotides long. RefSeq lists it as uncharacterized. The record is from RefSeq and is a predicted model, not a curated record. Lineage: Eukaryota; Metazoa; Chordata; Actinopteri; Salmoniformes; Salmonidae. The transcript has 3 exons.